GUGGGGAAUAUUGGACAAUGGGGGAAACCCUGAUCCAGCCAUGCCGCGUGAAUGAUGAAGGCCUUCGGGUUGUAAAGUUCUUUUGGCGGGGACGAUGAUGACGGUACCCGCAGAAUAAGCUCCGGCUAACUUCGUGCCAGCAGCCGCGGUAAUACGAAGGGAGCUAGCGUUGUUCGGAAUUACUGGGUGUAAAGUGCGCGUAGGCGGUCAAGCAAGUCAGAUGUGAAAGCCCUGGGCUCAACCCGGGAACUGCGUUUGAUACUGUUUGGCUUGAAUUCGGUAGAGGUGAGUGGAAUUCCCAGUGUAGAGGUGAAAUUCGUAGAGAUUGGGAAGAACACCAGUGGCGAAGGCGGCUCACUGGACCGACAUUGACGCUGAGGCGCGAAAGCGUGGGGAGCAAACAGGAUUAGAAACCCGGGUAGUCC
RNAcentral lists this ribosomal RNA (425 nucleotides) under uncultured bacterium. RNAcentral's name for it is "partial 16S ribosomal RNA". It matches the Rfam family "Bacterial small subunit ribosomal RNA", at positions 354 to 796 of the family's 1533-position model. The record is from RNAcentral.